UUGGUUCAUUUCCCUUAAAGUUGGAAUCAAAAGUUAGCAGAACUUACCUAAAAUCAUGUGCUCCCCCAACACCCAUUUCACAGAUGAGGAAGUAAAGGCAGAAAUAGAAAGAACAACUUAAGCUCAUUAACGACAGAGCAGCCGCCCCAAACCCCACUUCUACUUUCUAGUCCCCUAUACUUUCUAACACUCCCGAGGAUGAAAUUCUUCCUAAGAAUGUUGAGACAAAACUACCUUUUUCGGGAAUUCCUGUUGUGGCUCAGGGGGUUAAGAACCUGACAUGAUGUCCCCGAGGAUGUGGGUUUGAUCCUUAGCCCUGCUCAGUGGGUUAAGGAUCCAGUGUUGCCACAAGCUACGACAUAGGUUGCAGAUGCAGCUCGGAUCUGGCAUUGCUGUAGCAGUGGUGCAGGGCAAUGCCAGAUCUGAAAUGAGUCUGCAACUGACACCACAGCUCACAGCAACGCUGGAUCCUUAACCCACUGAGCGAGGCCAGGGAUCAAACCAGCAACCUCAUGGUUCCUAGUCGGAUUCGUUUCUGCUGCGCCACGACAGGAACUCUUGUUUCAUUCUAUUAAUGCUGGACCACUAUUAGAUCAGAAAUCACAGUGAUAAACCCUCUUUUUAAAAGGAAAGGGCCUUUUGAAAUGUAGAUCCAGAGAGUUUGUAUAUAUAGCAUAGACAAGAUGUAUAUGAUGUAGCACCUUGCUCUUUACAUAAGCCUGGAGAGGGAGGAUGAGGGAAGGAAGGAGGGAGGGAGAGAACGAGAAGGGAAACAUAAAUAUAUUUUAGGUUUCAAAGGAUAAGAAUUUUUAGUUUAGUUUUUACAUUUGGAUAAAAAUCUCCCAAUUUCUCUCCAGUGACAAAUUUCCAAACUGGUAACUUGAACAAAAGCCCAAGCAGAAAAGCAGAUCUGGAGUUUGUGUGCAUUGUGUUGGGAGUCAACAUUUAAAUUUCAUUAACAGGGCAACACAUAGAAGCUUUUCUGUUUCCUAUAAAUGUAUUUCACAUCACAGCAGGCAGAGAAAACAGUUCAUCUUCAACUAGAUCAUGAAUUUUUACAUAAUGAGAUGCUGUGAAAAACAAAAAUAAUGUGAAUACACAGAUAAAUAUUUGCGGGGUGCCUGGGUAUUUUGAUAAAUAGUAUCUGCUCCACACAUGUUCUGCCUUCUUCUGUGAUCUAUAAACCCCCACAGAACGUCUUCCACUCAAUCUGUCUUCAUAUUAUAUCGCCUUUUGUCCUAUGUUUCCAAGCUUUUCUCACUCCAUACUGGUGUCUUUACACUGUGUAAUCUUCCACUCCCAGGCCUGCUGCUUCCAUUCUAGCCAACACAAGGGUCCCCUCCUACUUAGUUUUCCUCCUCCAGGCUAUACGUCUCUUUCUAUGAGGUGCUUAUAUUGCAAUCAUUCUGGAACAUUCUGGAAGAGGCUAGCCUCUCUUUUGGUCCUGGCCACAUAGCACUGCUAUAGCACAGGGAAGAAGGGAGCUGCCAGGGGAUGGUGUGCAGGGAUGGCCACCAUGAGGAUCCUGAGGAUGGAAAGGAACCCCUUCCAGAAUCUUGGAAGCCAGUUUGGUGAGAGAAAGAGGGACAUAUGCCUUGGUGACACUUUUUUGAGUACCUGGAUGAGAUGUCACCUAAACCCAAAAUUCCACUGACUUGUUCAAUACCUUCCAAUCAUUUGUCAUAAAUUAUCUUUUUAUCUAUCCAGUUCGAGCUGAGGUUUUCUUUUGCAACUUAAAGAUUUUUAAAUGGAUAUUAUUAUUCACUUCUUUCUUGCUCAUCCAUCCACAAAGCCCCUUUCGACCACACCCCUUCUCCAAACUCUCUUUAGAACGUAAACUUUUUCAAGCUGAGAAAUGAACCCGACUUCCUGAAAAUCUCACUCGAAAGUUUAAUAGUAAUAAUGCACAAAUAAUGAUGAUAGUACCCACAACCGUGGCUCCUACUUAAUGAGUGCUUAUUAUAUACCAAUGAUAAGUUCAGGCAGUGGUGUUUCAAAAUUUUUCUUCAAAUUUACUCUCCAAAACCCUGAUGUCCACACCACACUUACAUCAAUUAGAUUUUGGUAGCACAAGAAUCUCUGGGAGUAGAAAAUAGGGUCAUCAUUUUUAAAGCUCUCCACGUAAUUCUACAAGCAGUUGAAUUUGAGAACCUCCCACUAAAGGUUUCCUAAUGAAUUAUUUUAUUUAAUCCUUAUAGCAAUGAUAUGAAAUGCUCAUUUAGUAUUAGUAUCAUUUAGCUAGUGAGGAAGAAGUCCGAGUCUCAGAAAAUUCACACAGGUAACAGGCAACAGACAUGGCUUUGAGAAUAUUAAAAUAGACUGGGGUUCAUAAACAUCAGCACGUAAUAGGAAGUGAAAAAAGCCAAGAACAUGGAUAAUCCACAGAGAAAGCAAACUUUGGUGGAAAAAACAGCAAAAGCCAGAGUAUUCAGAAUACUGCUACCUGACCUUAGGAGAAGCGUUUUAAAAUGGAGAAGUGGUUUCUAAGCUGAGCAGCGGACACACCCUAGUUCUCUUCAUUUCCUAUCAUUCCAUAGAUUUUUAUCAAACUGCAUCCAUAAAUGAAACACUUAAUUGAUAAGCAGGCUACGGGCUGCAGUGAAAGAAACAGGCAAGCCUGAAAGAAACUCUCCAUGUGGCAGAGGAAUUGAUUUAGACUCCCAAAGCUUGGAGACAAAAGGGGUCUGAUAUAGUGUAGGCAACUGUCUUUAACCAAUAUUGAUAAUGAAACUUCAAGUCAAGGCAAUAAAUCUGCACUCAAAAACCAACUUUAUAACCAUUAUCAAUACAGUUCUUGGAACUAACAAGCUUACCUGAAACCUGACUAAAAUGUCAUUGAGAGAAGAAGAAAAAACAUUUUUUUAUAUUGAAAAUUGAACAAUUUUGAACCAUCAGCAAAGCAUUAAUGUGACCAGCUUGAUACAAAACUGAAAGACAGAACUGUUGAAAUACAAUCAUAUGAUAAAUGUAAAUCAUGGACUGUAUUCACAUGGAACAUUUAAAGAAAUCGUCUUGAAAAUAAUUCUGAUUUUUCUUUCCUUUCAUUUUUUGCAUUUUCCUGUAGAGCAUCUUAACCUCUUCAGCAAUAAAAGCAGUAUUUGGCUGUUUGCUCUAUGACAAGAUUUGCCACCAGCUACUGCACUGUUACAUAUCUGAAGAAUAAUCAUUCUAGGGGACUUUUUGCUUCCUGCAUCUCCGCAGCAACAGAUAAUUUUUGAUGUCAAAGAAAGUCUUUUGACUUUUAAGGAAUAAAACAAAAGUUGUAGGUAGGGAUGCAAAGUAGAAAAUCGCUAGUUUUAUAUCA
RNAcentral lists this long non-coding RNA (3304 nucleotides) under Sus scrofa (pig). Its description in RNAcentral is "lncRNA (ENSSSCG00065032624.1)". Lineage: Eukaryota; Metazoa; Chordata; Mammalia; Artiodactyla; Suidae. The record is from RNAcentral.